RNAcentral lists this long non-coding RNA (1276 nucleotides) under Equus caballus (horse). Its description in RNAcentral is "lncRNA (ENSECAG00000028917.3)". The record is from RNAcentral. Lineage: Eukaryota; Metazoa; Chordata; Mammalia; Perissodactyla; Equidae.
AGCUUCCCGGUCCCCCCAGGGUUACCCUUGGGUGCAGGCGCGGCCUUUCUCCAAGGGGAGGGGGCAGCUACCCUUCUGCAAAGCGAAGGAGAAAUUCUAAGUAGGCGUGAAACUGUCAAGAGGCGCAGCCUGGCACCCACCCCUGCAAGGCACUGUGGCAGGCGAACCCUCCGGGCCUGGAGCGCCACCGAGAUGCUCCUCUGACACCGCGGGAGGGAAAGCGUUGACUGUUUUGUCUUCCCCGCCCCCUCCGGCGCGCGGUUCCGGGAGUUUAGGGCUCGGGCCGGGAGGAAAGGGCGAGAAGGCGCUUCUGGGCUCGCUGGGCAGGCAGGCGCUUCCGAGCCUGCGCCCGGCCUCUGUCCUCGCGGCCCGAAGCGGGGCGGGACGCGGAGGCCCUACGCGCCGGCGGGUGCCUGGACCCCGAGAACGCCGCGACUCCAGACCUAGGGGGCGCCUCCCCAGCGCCGAGGAAGGACCGCCGAGACGGAAGGGGCAGCCGGGCCCGCGCGAUUUCAUUUCGCGCUUGGCCGCCACCAGCAAGAAGCAGAACUCAGAACCCGACUCUCACCCUCACGCCCGGCCCCCAGCCCUGCCCGGCCCAGCCCGUGGGGCUCAGGGAGGCCCCGGGGGGCGCUGUCUCCUCUCCUCCUGCGAACAUCACCUCUAGUAAUACGCGCCCACCCUACCCAGCUUGGCGAGCCACCCGGCCCAGGGGUGACCCCGCCGCGGCUCCGUCUUGCCGGGUGCGGAUCCCCGGCAGAGCUGGCCCAGGGAGGCGGGCAGAGCACAGCGUCCCCGCGGCUCCUACCUCCCCGAGGCGGCCGCACGGGAUGGAGGCAGGGGGCGGGGGCGGCAAGCGGCCAGCAGCCAGGCGAAGGGAUCAGCUCGGCUGCAAAGCGCGCGGCCCUGGGCUCGGUGGCACCCUCAAACAGAGCCCAGCCCGGGCCCUCCCGAUCCGGGCGCAGCCUGGGUCCCGCCCUACCUCUACCCAUCCCACGUCUGGCUGAGUUCUCCGCCUUCUGCAUUUCCUUUCCUUCCCGGGGUUUCCACCCCCCUGCUGCUCUCUCUUACUCUCCUCUCCUUCGCCGACUCCUUUCCUCCCCACCUUGUCCCCCGCCCGCCACUCUUCUGCAGUUUACCGCAGAGAGAGCCCCAAACAACCCUCAUAAAGCCAAUAAACUAAAAAUGUAAGCACUGCCCAGAUUUAUGUGCUUAUCCCGUCGCUCCUAAAAAGCAAAUUGACACACUGGGUGGAUUUGGAUCGGCUUCCUCGGAG